CAAAAACAUGUCUUUUUGAUUAUAAUUAAAAGUCUAUCCUGCCCAAUGAGGAGAUAAAUGGCCGCGGUAUUUUGACCGUGCAAAGGUAGCAUAAUCAUUAGUUUUUUAAUUGAAAGCUGGUAUGAAUGGUUGGACGAGAAAAUAACUGUCUCGGUUUAAAUUAAAUUAGAAUUUUAUUUAUGAGUAAAAAAGCUCAUAUGAGUUUAAAAGACGAGAAGACCCUAUAGAAUUUAAUAUAUGUAUGUAUAUAUUAUUUUUAGUAUUAAUAAUAAGUUAUAUAUAAUUAUAUUUUGUUGGGGUGAUGGAAAAAUUAAAUUAACUUUUUUUAUAUAAAAACAUUAAUGUAUGAAAAAAUGAUCCGUUAAUUACGAUUAUAAGAUUAAAUUACCUUAGGGAUAACAGCGUAAUUUUUUUUUAGAGUUCUUAUCGAAAAAAGAGUUUGCGACCUCGAUGUUGGAUUAAAAUUAACUUUUGGUGUAGGGGCU
RNAcentral lists this ribosomal RNA (485 nucleotides) under Xylotrupes damarensis. RNAcentral's name for it is "partial large subunit ribosomal RNA". It matches the Rfam family "Bacterial large subunit ribosomal RNA", at positions 1808 to 2563 of the family's 2925-position model. Lineage: Eukaryota; Metazoa; Arthropoda; Insecta; Coleoptera; Scarabaeidae. The record is from RNAcentral.